This 258-nucleotide ribosomal RNA is filed under the name uncultured bacterium. RNAcentral's name for it is "partial 16S ribosomal RNA". It matches the Rfam family "Bacterial small subunit ribosomal RNA", at positions 524 to 777 of the family's 1533-position model. The record is from RNAcentral.
UACGGGGGGGAGCAAGCGUUGUUCGGAUUUACUGGGCGUAAAGGGCGCGUAGGCGGCGUGACAAGUCACUUGUGAAAUCUCCGGGCUUAACUCGGAACGGUCAAGUGAUACUGUCGUGCUAGAGUACAGAAGGGGGCAACUGGAAUUCUCGGUGUAGCGGUGAAAUGCGUAGAUAUCGAGAGGAACACCUGCGGCGAAGGCGGGGUUGCUGGGCUGAUACUGACGCUGAGGCGCGAAAGCUAGGGGGAGCAAACGGGG